ACGUUAGCGGCGGACGGGUGAGUAACACGUGGGUAACCUACCUAUAAGACUGGGAUAACUCCGGGAAACCGGGGCUAAUACCGGAUAAUACAUGAAACCGCAUGGUUUCAUGAUGAAAGACGGUUUUGCUGUCACUUAUAGAUGGACCCGCGGCGUAUUAGCUAGUUGGUAAGGUAACGGCUUACCAAGGCAACGAUACGUAGCCGACCUGAGAGGGUGAUGGCCACACUGGAACUGAGACACGGUCCAG
Molecule: ribosomal RNA, 250 nt
Filed under: uncultured Staphylococcus sp.
Lineage: Bacteria; Bacillati; Bacillota; Bacilli; Caryophanales; Staphylococcaceae
Description: partial 16S ribosomal RNA
Rfam family: Bacterial small subunit ribosomal RNA
Source: RNAcentral